AGCUAAAGCAGACAAGCUUCUCACCCCCGGCAGUGAGUGCUUUUCAUUGUGGAGGCCCAGCUCUCUGAGUGGUUCUCUUUCCCAGUGCUUUUCUUCUCCCAGCAUGGGCCAUCAUUUCUCUUCUCCGUAACAGUAAACUCCCAUUUCAUCAUUAGAUGGGAAACGUCCUUUCUGUUUGCCACACUGACCUCCUGACGCCCACCCCCUUAGCUUUCCCUCCUCACCUCAACUUGGCUACGCAUUUAGCAGACUGGUGCUCUCAUUGGCGCUGCUAGUCCUCUAGGAGCUUUCAAGUUACCCCUAAUCUUUUUCUUUAUGUCCCUUCAUUUGUUUCCUCUCAUGAGGAUUAGUGGUUUUUCUCUCCAACUUGCUCUCAGGCCAUCCUUCCUUGAGUUCCUUCUACAACCAGAAUCUUUAAGACUUGAAUGGCUGCUUUUGGCAGUGUCCCAUGAUGCUCCACCAAGCACAAGUACAGUGGAUGAUGAAGGACAUCCCAGGUAAGCAGUCUGACAUGUUCUCUCACUUAGAGCGUUCAGGCUCACUUUAGGAACAGCAGUAGAAAAACUUAACCCUGUAGCGGGAGUAGUGAGAUCACAUAUCCUUGCUAAUCCUAGCAGUUCUGAACACUUGUGAACUCACUGACCCUCUAAGAAUCCCACGAUUCCAUUCAGGAAAAUUCACAUUCAUGUAAACAUUUGCACAUAACUUCAAAGAGUUCAACUGGUCUGUCUGCAGCUUUGUAGACCAACAGUAAACCCUGGAUUAGCCUAUCUUAAAGAAAAGAAAAUGUUUUUUUUUUAAAGGUAUGUUAAUUAGUUUAUAAAUGUACCCCUAGUAUCUGAAAAAC
This 847-nucleotide long non-coding RNA is filed under the name Rattus norvegicus (Norway rat). Its description in RNAcentral is "long non-coding RNA NONRATT002689". The record is from RNAcentral. Lineage: Eukaryota; Metazoa; Chordata; Mammalia; Rodentia; Muridae.